CCUACGGGAGGCAGCAGUAGGGAAUAUUGCUCAAUGGGGGAAACUCUGAAGCAGCAACGCCGCGUGGAGGAUGAAGGUUUUCGGAUUGUAAACUCCUUUUGUUAGAGAAGAUAAUGACGGUAUCUAACGAAUAAGCACCGGCUAACUCCGUGCCAGCAGCCGCGGUAAUACGGAGGGUGCAAGCGUUACUCGGAAUUACUGGGCGUAAAGAGCGCGUAGGCGGGAUAGCAAGUCAGAUGUGAAAUCCUAUGGCUUAACCAUAGAACUGCAUUUGAAACUGUUAUGCUAGAGUAUGGGAGAGGUAGGUGGAAUUCUUGGUGUAGGGGUAAAAUCCGUAGAGAUCAAGAGGAAUACUCAUUGCGAAGGCGACCUGCCAGAACAUAACUGACGCUGAUGCGCGAAAGCGUGGGGAGCAAACAGGAUUAGAUACCCUAGUAGUC
RNAcentral lists this ribosomal RNA (440 nucleotides) under uncultured bacterium. RNAcentral describes it as "partial 16S ribosomal RNA". It matches the Rfam family "Bacterial small subunit ribosomal RNA", at positions 338 to 795 of the family's 1533-position model. The record is from RNAcentral.